Molecule: microRNA precursor, 170 nt
Filed under: Setaria italica (foxtail millet)
Lineage: Eukaryota; Viridiplantae; Streptophyta; Magnoliopsida; Poales; Poaceae
Also listed under: 1 other name
Description: MIR2118 microRNA precursor family
Rfam family: MIR2118 microRNA precursor family
Source: Rfam by way of RNAcentral
GCCAGGAAAAGGAAUCAUAGGACGGCUUAGGAGCGAUGGGCAUGGGAACAUGCAGGAAAGCAUAAGCUCUACAGUUCCAUGUUUAGAACUGGAGGUUAAGAUACUGUUUUGAGUUUUCCUAAUGCCUCCCCAUGCCUACCGUUCUUUGGUGCUUCCUCUUCCUUUUGGUU